ACAUCCAGAGAAUUUAGCAGAGAUGCUUUAGUGCCUUCGGGAACUCUGAGACAGGUGCUGCAUGGCUGUCGUCAGCUCGUGUUGUGAAAUGUUGGGUUAGGUCCCGCAACGAGCGCAACCCUUAUCCUUUGUUGCCAGCACGUAAUGGUGGGAACUCAAAGGAGACUGCCGGUGAUAAACCGGAGGAAGGUGGGGAUGACGUCAAGUCAUCAUGGCCCUUACGAGUAGGGCUACACACGUGCUACAAUGGCGCAUACAAAGAGAAGCGACCUCGCGAGAGCAAGCGGACCUCAUAAAGUGCGUCGUAGUCCGGAUUGGAGUCUGCAACUCGACUCCAUGAAGUCGGAAUCGCUAGUAAUCGUAAAUCAGAAUGUUACGGUGAAUACGUUCCCGGGCCUUGUACACACCGCCCGUCACACCAUGGGAGUGGGUUGCAAAAGAAGUAGAUAGCUUAACCUUCGGGAGGGCGUUUACCACUUUGUGAUUCAUGACUGGGGUGAAGUCGUAACAAGGUAAGCGUAGUGCU
RNAcentral lists this ribosomal RNA (526 nucleotides) under uncultured bacterium. RNAcentral's name for it is "bacterial SSU rRNA". It matches the Rfam family "Bacterial small subunit ribosomal RNA", at positions 984 to 1509 of the family's 1533-position model. The record is from RNAcentral.